CCCUUAGAUGUUCUGGGCCGCACGCGCGCUACACUGAUGCAUUCAACAAGCCUAGCCUUGACCGAGAGGUCCGGGUAAUCUUUGAAACUGCAUCGUGAUGGGGCUAGAUUAUUGCAAUUAUUAAUCUUCAACGAGGAAUGCCUAGUAAGCGUGAUUCAUCAAAUCGCGUUGAUUACAUCCCUGCCCUUUGUACACACCGCCCGUCGCUCCUACCGAUUGAAUGUGUUGGUGAGGAGCUCGGAUUGGCAGCAGUUGGUGGUUCGCCACCGGCUAUUGCUGAGAAGUCCUCCAAACCGCCCCAUUUAGAGGAAGGAGAAGUCGUAACA
RNAcentral lists this ribosomal RNA (326 nucleotides) under uncultured eukaryote. RNAcentral's name for it is "partial 18S ribosomal RNA". It matches the Rfam family "Eukaryotic small subunit ribosomal RNA", at positions 1470 to 1796 of the family's 1831-position model. The record is from RNAcentral.